CUUGCUCUGUGGGAUCAGUGGCGAACGGGUGAGUAACACGUGAGCAACCUGCCCCUGACUCUGGGAUAAGCGCUGGAAACGGCGUCUAAUACUGGAUAUGUGACGUGACCGCAUGGUCUGCGUCUGGAAAGAAUUUCGGUUGGGGAUGGGCUCGCGGCCUAUCAGCUUGUUGGUGAGGUAAUGGCUCACCAAGGCGUCGACGGGUAGCCGGCCUGAGAGGGUGACCGGCCACACUGGGACUGAGACACGGCCCAGACUCCUACGGGAGGCAGCAGUGGGGAAUAUUGCACAAUGGGCGCAAGCCUGAUGCAGCAACGCCGCGUGAGGGACGACGGCCUUCGGGUUGUAAACCUCUUUUAGCAGGGAAGAAGCGAAAGUGACGGUACCUGCAGAAAAAGCGCCGGCUAACUACGUGCCAGCAGCCGCGGUAAUACGUAGGGCGCAAGCGUUAUCCGGAAUUAUUGGGCGUAAAGAGCUCGUAGGCGGUUUGUCGCGUCUGCUGUGAAAUCCGGAGGCUCAACCUCCGGCCUGCAGUGGGUACGGGCAGACUAGAGUGCGGUAGGGGAGAUUGGAAUUCCUGGUGUAGCGGUGGAAUGCGCAGAUAUCAGGAGGAACACCGAUGGCGAAGGCAGAUCUCUGGGCCGUAACUGACGCUGAGGAGCGAAAGGGUGGGGAGCAAACAGGCUUAGAUACCCUGGUAGUCCACCCCGUAAACGUUGGGAACUAGUUGUGGGGUCCAUUCCACGGAUUCCGUGACGCAGCUAACGCAUUAAGUUCCCCGCCUGGGGAGUACGGCCGCAAGGCUAAAACUCAAAGGAAUUGACGGGGACCCGCACAAGCGGCGGAGCAUGCGGAUUAAUUCGAUGCAACGCGAAGAACCUUACCAAGGCUUGACAUAUACGAGAACGGGCCAGAAAUGGUCAACUCUUUGG
This 932-nucleotide ribosomal RNA is filed under the name marine bacterium AK6_036. RNAcentral describes it as "bacterial SSU rRNA". It matches the Rfam family "Bacterial small subunit ribosomal RNA", at positions 79 to 1021 of the family's 1533-position model. The record is from RNAcentral.